GAUUCUGGCUCAGGAUGAACGCUAGCUACAGGCUUAACACAUGCAAGUCGAGGGGCAGCAGGAACUUAGCUUGCUAAGUCGCUGGCGACCGGCGCACGGGUGAGUAACGCGUAUCCAACCUUCCCCUUAGUAGAGGAUAGCCCGGUGAAAAUCGGAUUAAUACUCUAUGUUGUUCAAUGCAGGCAUCUAAGUUGAACCAAAGAUUUAUCGCUAAGGGAUGGGGAUGCGUCUGAUUAGGUAGUCGGCGGGGUAACGGCCCACCGAGCCAUCGAUCAGUAGGGGUUCUGAGAGGAAGGUCCCCCACAUUGGAACUGAGACACGGUCCAAACUCCUACGGGAGGCAGCAGUGAGGAAUAUUGGUCAAUGGGCGAGAGCCUGAACCAGCCAAGUAGCGUGCAGGAAGACGGCCCUAUGGGUUGUAAACUGCUUUUAUAUAGGGAUAAAGUGCAUCACGUGUGGUGUUUUGUAGGUACUAUAUGAAUAAGGACCGGCUAAUUCCGUGCCAGCCGCUGC
This 513-nucleotide ribosomal RNA is filed under the name uncultured bacterium. Its description in RNAcentral is "bacterial SSU rRNA". It matches the Rfam family "Bacterial small subunit ribosomal RNA", at positions 15 to 518 of the family's 1533-position model. The record is from RNAcentral.